GGCGCUAGCCCAACUGGCAGAGGCGCCCUGUUGCCAACAGGGUUGUUGGGGGUUCGAAUCCCCCGCGCCCUG
This 72-nucleotide transfer RNA is filed under the name Methylocystis sp. Sn-Cys. RNAcentral describes it as "tRNA-Gly". It matches the Rfam family "tRNA". From Rfam's summary of the family: Transfer RNA (tRNA) molecules are approximately 80 nucleotides in length. Their secondary structure includes four short double-helical elements and three loops (D, anti-codon, and T loops). The record is from RNAcentral. Lineage: Bacteria; Pseudomonadati; Pseudomonadota; Alphaproteobacteria; Hyphomicrobiales; Methylocystaceae.